GUAGAAAGAUAAUCGAGAUUUCAGCUUGUCGAUUAUUUUUAUUUUUUUAUUCUGUUGAAUGCCUUUAAUUAUAAAUAACAACUUUAUUAAUGAAAAAUGGAUGUGUACACACUAAUUCUCAUAAACCAGAUUCCUAACCAGUAAACUCUUUAGCAACCAGAAGGAUCUGUUUAUUAUACAAUCCAAGGAAAUAAAAAAUAAAAACAAAAAAAAAAAUCAGGGAAAACUUUAUCAAAAGUCCAAUGAUUAAUUUUUCUUGAUAAAUUCCCGAGCUAACUCACAAACAAAACAAAUGUUUGUGGAAACUUUUGAUUUUUUAUUUUUUUUAAUUAUUAGAUAGUUUUAUAUCAAAAAAAAACUUAUUUGGGGCACAUAGGGAAGCUAAGUUUUCCACCGAAGAUAACGUUGGCGUUGUCGCAAAAAG
RNAcentral lists this long non-coding RNA (424 nucleotides) under Capsella rubella. RNAcentral describes it as "long non-coding RNA (CRUB_LNC004546)". Lineage: Eukaryota; Viridiplantae; Streptophyta; Magnoliopsida; Brassicales; Brassicaceae. The record is from RNAcentral.